AAAGCUGAAACCUACAACAUCCAUGGUGACAGGGUUUUCUUUUCUUUUUUAGACUGUAAUCAUCUUUGUAGCAUAUUGUUCUGGGAUCAGCACCUUUGGGGAUACAUUAGUACGGCGAUUGACGGAAAGAAGCUGAAGAGGGAAACCAAAGUGAACCCAGCCAAGGUGUCUAGAACUGUGGAACUGUGGAAACCUACCAGGAAUAUUGCAUUGCAAGGAAGAUAUUGCUGGCUGAAGUUCCUCUCCAUUUUGGACAGUCAGAUCAGCUUUCCUCAUAGACAAGAGCAAUAGUUUUCUCCGUGAUAUUUGAAACCCUUGCCUUCUAGUCAUGUCUGUGCCACGUGCUUCUUAUUCAAAGGACAACUGUUGAAUAACCAUGCAGCAAAGUCACAGAGCCAGGGCAAUAAAUAAGGGGAAGCACAAGCGCA
This 428-nucleotide long non-coding RNA is filed under the name Phasianus colchicus (ring-necked pheasant). RNAcentral's name for it is "lncRNA (ENSPCLG00000020825.1)". Lineage: Eukaryota; Metazoa; Chordata; Aves; Galliformes; Phasianidae. The record is from RNAcentral.